UACGUAGGGUGCAAGCGUUGUCCGGAAUUAUUGGGCGUAAAGAGCUCGUAGGCGGUCUGUCGCGUCUGCUGUGAAAACUCAGGGCUUAACCCUGAGCUUGCAGUGGGUACGGGCAGACUAGAGUGCGGUAGGGGAGACUGGAAUUCCUGGUGUAGCGGUGAAAUGCGCAGAUAUCAGGAGGAACACCGGUGGCGAAGGCGGUUCUCUGGGCAUUACCUGACGGCUGAGGAGCGAAAGUGUGGGGAGCGAACAGG
This 254-nucleotide ribosomal RNA is filed under the name uncultured bacterium. Its description in RNAcentral is "partial 16S ribosomal RNA". It matches the Rfam family "Bacterial small subunit ribosomal RNA", at positions 524 to 776 of the family's 1533-position model. The record is from RNAcentral.